CAACCAUCUCCCACAGCUGAAAUAUUCUCCCACUGUGGUCUAGGGAGUACGGGGUAGGGAUACACCCGUAAAUCUCUCGCUGUCCCUGAUUCUCUCUCUCCCUGGGUAUGGAUAUUUAGACACCAAACUGCGCUGAUUUAGAGCCCCCGGCUGAGAAGGCAGCUGUGAAGAACAAGUAACUGGUGAGCACGGCAGGAGCCCUCUACUCUAAUGCUGCUCAAAGGUAAAAAACUGGUUGGAUGGUUGGGCCAAGAGAGUGGUGGUGAAUGGAAUAUCAGCAAUAGUGUGGCCAUCAGGACCGGGGCUGUUACCAUCCCCUUGUACUCGAUAUGCUGAGCAUUGUUUCAAAGCUGAUAAAACAAGAUCUGCUUCAACAGAAGA
Long non-coding RNA from Cyanistes caeruleus (blue tit), 381 nucleotides. RefSeq lists it as uncharacterized. Lineage: Eukaryota; Metazoa; Chordata; Aves; Passeriformes; Paridae. The record is from RefSeq and is a predicted model, not a curated record.